This 494-nucleotide ribosomal RNA is filed under the name Acontias lineatus grayi. RNAcentral's name for it is "partial 16S ribosomal RNA". It matches the Rfam family "Bacterial large subunit ribosomal RNA", at positions 1926 to 2605 of the family's 2925-position model. Lineage: Eukaryota; Metazoa; Chordata; Lepidosauria; Squamata; Scincidae. The record is from RNAcentral.
AACGGCCGCGGUAUUCUAACCGUGCAAAGGUAGCGUAAUCACUUGUCUUCUAAAUAAAGACCAGUAUGAACGGCUAAAUGAGGACAAACCUGUCUCCUACGACAAAUCAGUGAAACUGAUCUUCCAGUACAAAAGCUGGAAUAAACACAUAAGACGAGAAGACCCUGUGGAGCUUACAAACAUAAGGUCAACAAGGCAAACCACAAAACCAACAAUGACCCUGCGUUUUAAGUUGGGGCGACUUCGGAAAAAACAGAACUUCCGAGAACGGGGCCACCAGCCCCUGCUAAGGAAUACAACCCAAAGCAUCAACAUAUAAAAGACCCAGUCAAACUGAUUAACGAACCAAGUUACCCCAGGGAUAACAGCGCUAUCUUCUUCAAGAGUCCAUAUCGACAAGAAGGUUUACGACCUCGAUGUUGGAUCAGGACACCCAAAUGGUGCAGCAGCUAUUAAAGGUUCGUUUGUUCAACGAUUAACAGUCCUACGUGAUC